GGAGAGUUUGAUCCUGGCUCAGAACGAACGCUGGCGGCAGGCUUAACACAUGCAAGUCGAGCGACCCUUUCGGGGGGAGCGGCGGACGGGUGAGUAACGCGUGGGAACGUACCCUUUUCUACGGAAUAGCAUUUGGAAACGAAUGGUAAUACCGUAUACACCCUUCGGGGGAAAGAUUUAUCGGAAAAGGAUCGGCCCGCGUUAGAUUAGGUAGUUGGUGGGGUAACGGCCUACCAAGCCACCGAUCUAUAGCUGGUUUGAGAGGAUGAUCAGCCACACUGGGACUGAGACACGGCCCAGACUCCUACGGGAGGCAGCAGUGGGGAAUCUUGGACAAUGGGGGAAACCCUGAUCCAGCCAUGCCGCGUGAGUGAAGAAGGCCCUAGGGUCGUAAAACUCUUUCAACUGUGAAGAUAAUGACGGUAGCAGUAGAAGAAGUCCCGGCUAACUCCGUGCCAGCAGCCGCGGUAAUACGGAGGGGACCAGCGUUGUUCGGAAUUACUGGGCGUAAAGCGUACGUAGGCGGAUUAGUAAGUUAGAGGUGAAAUCCCGGGGCUUAACCCCGGAACUGCCUUUAAAACUGCUAGUCUUGAGGUCGAGAGAGGCGAGUGGAAUUCCAAGUGUAGAGGUGAAAUUCGUAGAUAUUUGGAGGAACACCAGCGGCGAAGGCGGCUGGCUGGUUCGAAACUGAGGCUGAGGUACGAAAGUGUGGGGDGCAAACAGGAUUAGAUACCCUGG
RNAcentral lists this ribosomal RNA (738 nucleotides) under uncultured bacterium. Its description in RNAcentral is "bacterial SSU rRNA". It matches the Rfam family "Bacterial small subunit ribosomal RNA", at positions 8 to 790 of the family's 1533-position model. The record is from RNAcentral.